CUUGAUCGAGCCGAGCCACAGCGGCCGGUCGGCCGGGCGGUCCUGCCCGUAGGUCGCGAGCAGCGCGUGGGCUUC
Non-coding RNA from Cryptosporangium arvum DSM 44712, 75 nucleotides. It matches the Rfam family "ASpks TB sRNA". Lineage: Bacteria; Bacillati; Actinomycetota; Actinomycetes; Cryptosporangiales; Cryptosporangiaceae. The record is from Rfam.